AGAAAGGGAGAGAGAGAGAGAGAGAAAGAGAAAGAAAGAGGGAAGAAACAAAAGAAAGAGAAGAAGGAAGAAUCAAAUUAUCUUUAGUCACACACACUACAUUGCAUCUAUCUCUUUUCAUUUCAUUGAAACACGCUGUCUAGAGGAACGGCUCGCAACGAGGAAUCGAUUUGGAACAAAGCCAGCAGAACGGAGCUGCCAUCACAGAGACUUCUCCACAUGUGGACAUCGCCGUCCCGACUUAGGAUCGGCCGGGCACCCAGGAAAAAGUCGACUCCUUAAUCUGAACUGGGCCAAUUAUCGCGACUGCUGAAGUAUGGAGCAUCCGGAAGGUUUUAGAAGGAAGUUAUCCUUCUUGGGCUUUGUUAAAAGACCAUCGCGAUUAUACGUGCCGAGCAGACUGAAACCGACACUCAACUUUGAAAUAUAUAUAAUAUGUUAUCGUUAAAGCACAGAAAUCAUUUAUUCUACAGAUUAUCUAGAUAAUGUGAAGAUUAACUAAGACGAUCAAAAUUCAUUUCAUUUCAUUUCUCAAAUUAUUUUAGAUAAUCUGCACGUUACUUAACAGACACUCGUU
This 577-nucleotide long non-coding RNA is filed under the name Polistes fuscatus (common paper wasp). RNAcentral's name for it is "uncharacterized LOC122518181". The record is from RNAcentral. Lineage: Eukaryota; Metazoa; Arthropoda; Insecta; Hymenoptera; Vespidae.